GACCUAGUGGUGAAUGGAUCAUGCCUGCUUCUCAUGUAGGAAGUACAGUAUGUUGUGCAAGGCAGGAGGCUUCGGUUCAAUUCCGGGCUGGGUCU
This is a non-coding RNA of Mycena latifolia, 95 nucleotides long. NCBI's taxonomy places the organism in Eukaryota, Fungi, Basidiomycota, Agaricomycetes, Agaricales, Mycenaceae. The record is from the annotation of a GenBank genome assembly.